CCCUUAGAUGUUCUGGGCAGCACGCGCACUACAAUGGUCUUCGCAAACGGAUGCAUUCUCGAAGGAGAAUGCCAAUCUUGGAAUCUAUGCCUUGGUCGGGACAGUUGCUUGCAAUUUUUCGACUCGAACCAGGAAUUCCUUGUAAUCGUGAUUCAUCACAUCACGAUGAAUACGUCCCUGCCCUUUGUACACACCGCCCGUCGCUCCUACCGAUCGAAGAGUUAGGUGAAUUGUUUUGAUCGAUAAGAUUUGACUAUGGUCAACUCUCGUUGGGAAAUUCUGUGAAUCUGACUGUUUAGAGGAAGGAAAAGUCGUAACA
This 319-nucleotide ribosomal RNA is filed under the name uncultured eukaryote. RNAcentral describes it as "partial 18S ribosomal RNA". It matches the Rfam family "Eukaryotic small subunit ribosomal RNA", at positions 1470 to 1796 of the family's 1831-position model. The record is from RNAcentral.